Molecule: long non-coding RNA, 642 nt
Organism: Symphalangus syndactylus (siamang)
Lineage: Eukaryota; Metazoa; Chordata; Mammalia; Primates; Hylobatidae
Source: RefSeq, a predicted model, not a curated record
UUCUCAGGCCCUCCUCCAGACCUCCUGAAUCCAAAACUCUUUUAACACACUGUCCUGAUGCACACUUAAGUUUGAAAAUCACGGUCCUAGAAUCAGCUUCUGGGUAACUUGGGAAGAAGUGAGCAGGAAGCGGUGAAACAGAGGCGCUUGUCCCAAUCAGGGAACCUUUAAGGAACAAGAUAACGGAUGGCAAUUUUGUAUUUUCCUUUUUAGAUGACCCAGGAAAAUGGAUGCUCAGAAAUCAAAAAGAAGCUUGAGACUGCAUGGAAAAAUUACUAGUGAAUUAAAACUUUAUUUCUGUUUUUUUCAAUCUUGUCUGUAUCCUAACAAAAAGCUGGUGCUGGAAUGAAUGCGUAUCUUUUUGUUGUUGUUGUUUUGACACUGACAAAAAUUCCUUUUGCAAAUGGCUAUUGAGGCUUCAAAGGGGCAACGUAUCAUGCAAAUAAUUUUUUUUUUCAGCUAUGACGUGUACAGUUCAGUUUGAUUUAUUUUUGAUGUCAGAAACAAAAUGGAAAGUUAGCGCUUUAAAAAUGAGCGUGGCUGGCUGAAUAAAUAAAUAAUAUGCUCUUGGCCAGAACCCGCCAGUGCCUCCUUAAUUGUCCAUUGAUUCUUUAAUUCUCUGCACUUUAACAUCUACGGAAA